This 66-nucleotide transfer RNA is filed under the name Manocoreus sp. Its description in RNAcentral is "tRNA-Leu". Lineage: Eukaryota; Metazoa; Arthropoda; Insecta; Hemiptera; Coreidae. The record is from RNAcentral.
UCUAGUAUGGCAGAAUAGUGCAAUGAAUUUAAGCUUCAUAUAUAAAGAUUUAGUCUUUUAUUAGAA